CAGCCGCCACGGUAAUACGAAGGGUGCAAGCGUUACUCGGAAUUACUGGGCGUAAAGCGUGCGUAGGUGGUGGUUUAAGUCCGUUGUGAAAGCCCUGGGCUCAACCUGGGAAUUGCAGUGGAUACUGGGUCACUAGAGUGUGGUAGAGGAUAGUGGAAUUUCCGGUGUAGCAGUGAAAUGCGUAGAGAUCGGAAGGAACAUCUGUGGCGAAGGCGACUAUCUGGGCCAACACUGACACUGAGGCACGAAAGCGUGGGGAGCAAACAGGAUUAGAUACCCCCGUAGUCCCUGUCUCCUUAUU
RNAcentral lists this ribosomal RNA (301 nucleotides) under uncultured bacterium. RNAcentral's name for it is "partial 16S ribosomal RNA". It matches the Rfam family "Bacterial small subunit ribosomal RNA", at positions 509 to 809 of the family's 1533-position model. The record is from RNAcentral.